UUUCUCUUUCUCUCUCUAAAACCCCCAAUUCAAUCUCAUUUUUUCUUCCAAAAUGGUCAAAAUUCACUCCCCAAUCUUGAAUUUGGCAGAUCAAAACUCACAAUUUCGGUAGUACCAACAAUGAAUUGGAUUUUGCUACAAAAAUAAUGAGAUCGUCAAGCUGCAGUGGUGGUGGUUCAUUUCAUCUGGAGAAAGGUGUCCUUUGUGGAUGACAACUGUACCAAAACGGUUCAAAACCAGCUU
RNAcentral lists this long non-coding RNA (243 nucleotides) under Helianthus annuus (common sunflower). Its description in RNAcentral is "hypothetical non coding rna". Lineage: Eukaryota; Viridiplantae; Streptophyta; Magnoliopsida; Asterales; Asteraceae. The record is from RNAcentral.